RNAcentral lists this ribosomal RNA (119 nucleotides) under Triticum aestivum (bread wheat). Lineage: Eukaryota; Viridiplantae; Streptophyta; Magnoliopsida; Poales; Poaceae. The record is from RNAcentral.
GGAUGCGAUCAUACCAGCACUAAAGCACCGGAUCCCAUCAGAACUCCGAAGUUAAGCGUGCUUGGGCGAGAGUAGAACUAGCAUGGUUGACCUCCUGGGAAGUCCUCGUGUUGCAUUCC